GUGAACUUUGCUAAAGUUCCACUCCACAUGUCAACAUUCUGAUUAAACCAUGGUUCUUUUGUGGAUGAUUGGUUGUACUAAUGGGUCCAGAUAUACAUCUUUCACAGAGCUAGACCAGUGGGAGCUGUUUCCUAUACGGACAUUAAUGGGUUUAGUUACAAAAGAGAUGUUAUAUUUUGUUACGAUUUGAAGCUACCUGAAGAUUUUGUUCCUAUGAAUCAAGGUAACUGUAUUAAAGCUUGAUCACACUGACGCUCAUUUUCUUCCUUCGUGAGAAUAAGGUAUAAAAGCAAUGUUUCUUGAUCUACAAACUAAUUUUAGCAUUCCUACUGUUAAAUAUUUGUACAUUUCAAUCUAUAACAUUCAUCUGCUGCAGUUUUAGAAGAGAAUUAUAUCUAUUCAUUGUAAUAGCUUUUAUUAAACAUGUUGCAGACGGAGAGGUAGAAAGCUUCCAGUUGAUGCCUGUGGCACAUGUUGCAAAUGUCAUACGGAGAACAGAGUUCUUCAAGCCAAAUUGCUCCCUAGCCAUCAUUGAUUUCUUGUUUCGACAUGGGUAUUAGCACUUUUCUUGAUUGCUUCUUGUAUCUCUCUCAGUUUGAGACUUUCAGUAAUCAGUUAAAAAGAUUAAAAUAAAUAAAGAAAGAAAUAAAACUAGCAUAUGUGACAGCCGUAUGAAAAAUAAAUAAAUAAAUAGAAAGCAUAAUCACUUCUUUCUUUCUUUUUUUAUUAACUGUCAAGUUGUGGCAAUGGUUGCUGCUUUUCUUAUGAUAGUGGACUCUUCUGCCCUGUAGAAAUGAUAAAAGCAAUGGUGUGUAAUUGUAAUGAAUCUUAAAUGUUUGCUCUCCACUACUGAUAUUCCCAUGUGUUUCUCUUUAGUUUUAGGAAUCUUUUAGAUGUCUUUGGGUUUUCUUUUUCAUGAUUUCAUACAUUUAUCAUUUAUGCUGAUUAAAAUUGUUACAUAUUAGGCUUGGCAAAUUGCUCCAGGAUUUUAUUUCUGACACUCAUAUGCACUUCCAACUAUUUCAAUGAAUCUCGAGAUAUGUCUUUGAUUUUUCUUGUAAUGUCCAUACAUUGAUGCUGGUUGAUAUUAGAUAUAUUUGAUGGGAUUCAUGCUCAAAAGGCGUUGUUGUAGUUCCUUCUUUGCUAUUAUGAAAAAUUCAGCUAUAGCAUAUCAGUCCAUCCCAGUUUGAUUCUAAUCUUUUACCAUAAUGCUGCAACUUGUAGGUACAUUCGUCCUGAAUAUUUUGGAUACUUGGAUCUACUACAGAGUUUGAGAAGGGGAGACUUCUCCUAAUUAUUUGUCUUCGUGCCUGUCUUUUUUCUUUUUCUUUUUUAAUCCUCCAAAUAUAUUGGAUUGACUGAAUGACAACUGGUGUUAAUUAAAGGCGUUAUUUUCCUGUCGCGAAAGAGAUAGUUUGGGCAUUAUACGAUGUGAAAUCAUAGUUCUUAAAAUGAGACUUCUGAAUGAAACUAAACACAUAAUAUGUAAUUUAGGGUUUAAAAAAAAAAAUGGAAUUUACCCCGGUUAUACCCGGAAUCUUGGCUAUUAAUCUAGUUAUGCCCUCGUAUUUCGAAAUUAUCAUAAUAUGCCUUUAGAGAUGAGUAAUGUCUAAAUUACCCUCAAAUAUCUCCACUUUGUCAUUGAAUUUCUUCUCCGUUGGCCGCAAUAGCUCCAUCGAGAUUACCCUUAUCAAGCAGAAUGAUUUAUCUCUUGUUGGUGGUGACCUAAACAAUAAGUAUAGGUCAUUGUUAUGACGAAAAUAAAGGGCCAGAAUUCACAUGAAUAAUGCUUAAUUACCAUGGCUGCUAACUAGGCCAAAACGUCAUGACAAGAUCAACAGAAAGAUAAACAUAGAAGAACUGUCGGAUGCGCAAUACUAUAAGUGUCAUUCCAUGUACCUGAAAGAUGAUUGCCUAUUCAUCAAAAAUCGUCCAAAUAGAAAAUGCAAAAAUUGAAGAAUCCCAACCUAAUCUGGUAUUAGCCAUUGUGCCCACCAAUUAGACUUACAUCUGAAUGAUGCUCAGAUUUAUCACUAUAAAUACCAAAGCUUACAGAAUCUUGGAUGCUUAAGUGAUAACCAGUAGGCUCUUUUUUUUUUUUUUUUUUUUUUUAAUAAGAAUUACUAAAUGUUUGCUUUACAUAUUGCCAUGGGAUGAUAAUAUCCAUCAACAAACUGAUAUCCAGUUCCAUCCAUAUGGACAUGUAGAUCUUCUUACUCUGUACCAGAAUAUCUGUGUAAAGUGAGUAGAAUAAAUUCAAGACCCAAAGUUUUACUCUCUAGGCUCUGGUUUGGGAUUUUUUUUUUUUAAUAUUGUUAUACAGGACUAUAGGUAUUAUAAUUAAUAUUUACAAACAGAUUUUACAAUUGGGACCUUCUUCGUGGCAUGUACUCCUCUGAAGCGCUGCCCAAAUUCUUCAAAUCCUCUCAAAUAUUCGAGGAUUGUUCACUCUACUCACAUUUCGUGAGGAAUAGACUGGCUCCACUCAAUUAUUUGAUAAUUGAGGAAGGAUUGUAAAUAAGCUUCAUAAAUGCUUUUAUGGAGGCUCGAACCCUUGCACUCAUUAUUCUAGGUGCAAAGGUUCUCCCACUGAACCAAAGGCCCAUUGGUAGGCUCUGGUUUGGUUAAGUCAUAUAAUUUCGGAGAAUACCACAUGUACCAAAAGCAACACUGUCAAGUAAACUCCUCUAUUUACAUUUCAAUUAAACCACAUAAUUGAUCUACACAGGGACAAUUGAUAGAAUUACCUCUGCUGUGCAGGAAAAUAAUAAAGAAGACGGCCUUUGUGACACCGAGAGCGAAGAAGUAUUUGUUCAAGGCCCUCAUUCUCUUUCAUUUUCAUUCCUUUACAUACUGCUCAAGUGCUCAUAAAAAAUAUUGUAAGGGUCUUAUUCAGCCACAUAUACAUGAAUAAUUCUAGAUUGUGAAAAAGUUGAAACUAUUUACUUUUAAGGAAUGAAGCAUGCAUCAACAAUAUAGUUAGUUGAGACUCAUGAAUCCUCAUUCUAAAUCCAGUGAGAAACAUUUCCCAAAACUAAGAAAAUUAUUUUUCUACUUCCAAGAAAUCUUGUGAAUACUUCUACAGAAUGAUAAGUAUUUUUCAGGGCAAAAAGGCAUGCACCCAUAGUCAGCUGUUAGUAUAACAUAUCUAAAAUAGAGCCUAGAAAUCACAAUAAUCAUUUCCAAUGUAUGUAAAAGCCAGUGUCAUGCCAAAGGAAUUCACCAUAUUGGUCGCAGUAAUAUGCCAACAUCAACCCGACAUCUACAAUCAGCUUUCCAAGGGCUUUGAAAGCUAGACACCAACAAUUAACCUUCAGUAAAUGUAGAAAAUAAUUGAAAAGUGAAUUUGAAAAAUAAAUAAGUGAAUAAAAAAUCCAACAUAGACGAAAACUGUGAAAGGAACACAAGAAGAUGAGAGUGGAAGACAAGUGUAGCACCAAACAAGAAUUUCACUCCCACUUAUAGCUUCAUUUUCAAGAAAAUUGGCAGAGACUCGUACCAAAAGAUUAGAUUACUCUGAAAAUAUGCUCAUAUAAAGGAAAAAUAACGAAACCAAUAUCUGCUUCAAAAAUCGGCUGAAACUACUCAGUUUAAAACAACUAUUCCGAUAUAGAAUAGAAGUUGACAAUGUAAAAAAAAGUGUAGACUGCAUACAAAGAAGUUUCUUCCCUGCAGUACACACUUGCGCUCACACAAAGACACGAAAAUAGAGAAGCAUAAAUUUGUUUAACUGUUUAAAUACAAGCUCUCAGAUCAUGAAUCCAAGAAAUCACAUAACUAUGAUAAACAAACCUCUCAAGAGACAAUUUCCAGCAAGCAGAAUAAGUCUCUCUUAAAAGCCAAUAAAGGAGUAUAGUAAUAUUUUGUUAGCAUACCCACUUCAAGUUCUGGCAGUGCACUAUGAGGCCAUAUAUUCGAACCACAAUAUGAUGGAUACCUAAAAGACAGAGAACCGGAAAUAAGUAAAGCAACUAACCACAUCCAGAUUUUGCAUAUCUAAUCUAAAUAUGCGCAAAUGAACAUAAGAUGUAUAUAAAACAUAUCUUUCAAAAGUAAAAAAAUCAUCCCAGCAAAUAUAUUAUAGUCUUCCAAACAAUGUAUCAUAUGAAGAUAGAUAUAACACAAAUUUUUGUUAUCCACUUUAUCCACACACUAACAAUCAAUUUUGCCAGCCAUAAAAUCUCCAGGAACAAGGGAAUGACAGUCAACACUACGAGCACUUGGAAUGCUGUUAAUAUCUUUUACCUUUGGAUUAAAUGGGUCUCUGUUGUAGGCACGUCUAACAAUGGAUUCGCAUAGAAGGAGCCCUUCAACAUAUCUGCACAAGAUUAGAAUUAAAAAGGUUAAGACCCUACUUUCAGGCAUAAACUGACAUCAUGAGAAAUAUAAAAAAUAAUCAUACUAAGGCAUAGAACACCAACACUUCCUAAUAAUAUGUAUCAACAUGAACCAUAUCCGAAGGUAAACAAAGAUAAUAUUGCAUUAUAACUGCAGUCAUGUCUAGCUGCCAGUGGUCAAUCCAUUUUAUGUUUCAAAAUUCCUCAAAACUUCAAAUGACUCCAUCCCUCCAUGUCCAAACAUAGGAACUCCCACUCUAUUCAAUCAUUUACAUAAAUAUCAUGGGAACGUGAAUUCUGAAAAAUAGGAACGUGAAUUCUGAAAAAUAUACAGACUGCUCAUAUUAUGCCGUAUUUUAUUGAUUGCAAUAAUCAUGCAUCACAACAGGUGAAAUAUCUCAAAAUUGAAAUCAGCUUGGCCUGUGUUAGAACAAGAUGACCAAACUCAAGAACCUACAUCCGAAGUUGUACCUACAGACAGAGAGUGAGCGGAAGAAACAAAGAGUUAAAGCACCUCAUAUACUGUGAGAUUAUGAACUUGGAAAUAUAUUUCAAAUCCAAUGCAAGAAUACCACGCCUUCCACAAACAAAAUCACCAGAAAAAAGGUUCUAGUUAUUCAUGAUAAACACACUACUUCCACGGGCUGCAGGCCAUGCUAAGUAUUGCUGUUAACAGCUUUAGGUAGGAUUUAAGGAAAAUAUACUGUUUACUUUUUUCAUCAGAUAGAAAAUACGGGACAGGACCAAAAAUAAAUAAAAUGAGGAAAGAGAUACUUAGGUAAGACCAUGCUAAUCAUCUAUGCCAUCAAAAGACCUAACGAUCACAGAGGAUAAAUGGGUAAACUCCAUCACCUGAGUUAAGUAGCAUAUGAUGCACUCACGAGGACAUAACCAUGUGAAGACAGCAUUAUUCUACUGGUAAGGCUGUCAAGGUUGGUGAGUAGAACUCUGAAUGGCAUUAUCAUAUGUGUCAGGACCUUCUGGAAUCAAUGAAGAGUUCAACUGACAUAAUACCUUUCGAGUAAGAAAUGAAAUCGUUAAGUACCGAUAAGGUGAAAGUUUAUCUUUUCAAAACAAGUCUAAGGAACCCAAUUGGUAUAAAGGGAAUAUAGAUAUAAUAAGAUCCUUCCCACAUAAGCCUAGAGCUAUCCAGAGCAAUUUAACAAACCUCUAUGCUAAGUGGAGGCCAAAGACACAUCCAAAGCAACCAAAAUAAGCCAUCAAAGGGAAUAAAGUAAAUAAAAGAAGAUGAACAGUGAAAUCAAACAACAAUACAGGAGCUAGUGGAAAGUAGAAUCAGACCUACUGUGAUGAUCUUCAAGAUCCUUCUUUACAACUUCAGGAAGGUUAGCUAAUCUGAUAAAACAGAAUCUUGUGAACAACUUAUGUAAAAGUUACUUGUCCUAAAUAAUAUCUACCCGCAAGCUCAACCUGAGCAUUGAAAAUCUAGUUCGAAUCUUAUACCUAGGUGCAAGAUGCAGGAGAUUUUGACGCAGUGAAGAAAAUCCAGGAACCUAAAACAAAAACAGGUCAACUUCAAACAGGUAAUUCAAGCAUAUUGAAAGCAAAAUGACUGAAUAAUUCCUGAACAAAGACACUAGUUGUCCGAAUUUCAAAUGUAAAGACACAUACAAAAUACAUAAAUAUAGAGGGGGAACAAGAAGAGUUUCAAAAAUGGGAAGGGGACUUCAUCAAAGUUGCUACUUCAUUUUGUGUUACACAUUGCCACAGGUUUCAUCAUAUUCAAAAGUUAUACUCGUUGAAAGAAAACUUGAGCUGUUUGUUUUGAAAGAAAAGUUGCAGACAAAAUUUUUAUUUCCUUGAAUCUGGACAAUUAUCAAAGUCACUUUACAACUGAAUUAAUCACAGCUUAUAUACUCACAAGUUAGUUAUACACACAAGAAUUAUUAAUAACAGACUUUAACACCUUGUGCUGACUUGUUAUUUCAUAACUAACUCUAAUGACUUAGCAUUGCUGAGCUGGCAUGAUUGACUAACUUCACUUGCUGAAACUAACGGCUUCUUCACCUUUCUAUUCUUCAUAAGCUCAGCACAAUGAGCUUCCUUAACAGCCCCCCUCAAACUCAAGGGACACGUCUACACAUUGAGUUUGUCUCUAAAGUAGUUAAAAUGAAUAGAUGAGAGAGGCUUGGUCAUGAUAUCAGCUAUCUGUUCUGCACUAGGAAUGUACUGAAUUUGCAGCUCUCCAGCAAUCACUUUGUCUCUGAUGAAGUGUAAAUCAAUCUCAAUAUGUUUAGUUCUUGAAUGGAUAACAGGAUUGCGAGCUAAUUCAGUGGCACUAAUGUUGUCACACCAGACAGUAGGAGUUUCUGUACAGCUUAAACCAAUUUCAGAAAAAAGAGAUUGUAACCAGCUUAUCUCUGCACUAGCUGAAGCUAAGGCUCUAUAUUCACUUUCAGCACUUGAUCUGGCAAUGACUGACUGCUUUUUAGAUGACCAUGAUAUUAGAUUGUUUCCCAAGUAAAUGCAGUAAGCACCCACAGACUUUCUGUCAUCAAGAUCCCAGGCCCAAUCUGCAUCAGUGAAUCCUGUGAUCUUCAUCUCUCCAUGCUGAACAAAUUUAAAUCUAUAAUCUUGAGUAGACUUCAAGUAUCUAAGCACUCUCUUACAAGCUACCAAAUGCUGCAAUGUAGGAGUGGAAACAUACUGGCUUAACUUGUUGACAGAAAAUGCAAUUUCUGGUCUUGUUAGGAUCAGAUACUGCAUUCCCCCCACAAUGCUUCUAUAAUGUGUAGGAUCAGUGAUAUACUGACCAAGAUGACCUGGAGUUUCCUUUUGUAGCUUUAUUCCAAUGCUCAUAGGUGUAUCAAUUCCUUUGCAUUCAAGUAGCUGAACUUUGGAUAAUAAGUCUCUUAUGUAUUUUCUUUGUGACAAAUAGAUGCAACAUGCAUCAUACAAAACUUCAAUGCCCAGAAAAUAAGACAAAUUACCCAAAUCUUUCAAGGCAAAGACUCUGUUCAGUUCAGUUAUAAAGGUUUCCAAUGCUGCACUAUCUGGUCCUGUAAUUAAGAUAUCAUCCACAUAAAUCAACACCAUUAUCAUGAAGUUGAUUGUUUUCUUUAUGAAUAAAGAAGAGUCUGCUCUUGAGUUUAUAAAACCCCACUGUAAUAAGCAGCUUUUUAACUUCUCAUACCAAACCCUUGGAGCUUGUUUAAGGCCAUAGAGAGACUUGUGGAGUUUGCACACAAAAUCUGGUUUCUGAUUAUUGACAAAGCCUGCUGGUUGAUCCAUAAACACCUCUUCUGUCAACUCUCCAUUAAGAAAAGCAUUAUUUACAUCGACCUGCCUUAUCUCUCAUUGUUUCAUGACAGCUAGACUAAUCACCACUCUGACAGUAGCUGACUUUACUACAGGGCUAAAUGUCUCAAAAUAAUUAACCUCUUCAAUCUGCUGAAACCCCUUAGCUACUAGCCUAGCUUUAUACUUGGCCAAACUUCCAUCUGAAUUUUGUUUGACUCUAAAUACCCACUUGUUGCCAACAAUUUUUUGACCAGCUGAUCUAGGAACCAGAGACCAUGUUUUGUUACUCAUUAGAGCGUUGUAUUCAUCCUUCAUGCUGCAAGCCAUUUAAGAUUCUCCAUAGCUUCUUUGAUAGAUUCUAGUUCUUUAUGAACAAGUGUGACAUUGUAGAGUUUUGGUUUAAAAAUCCCAGCUUUGCUUCUAAUUAUCAUGGAAUGUGUGUUUACUGGUGUAGUAAUGUGUUGUGUAUGUUCUGGGGCUGAGAUAGAUGGAAUAGUGUUUAGUGAUAUUUGAUCAUGAGGAGAAAUAUAAGGCUCUGGCUCUGUAUGUGGUUGAACUGUUUGUGAUGAAGAGUGAGGAUCAAUGUUGUAUGCAGAAUUACCUGAGUGAUGAGAAGUGCUACUGGUAGGUCUUGCAGAAUCAUGAUUAUAGUAGUUGUUGUCAUCUGAUAUUGGAGAUAUUAACAAAGUGGAUAUAUGAUACACUUGUUGAGGAGUAAAUGGUAGGUUUGAACAUAAAUUUGAUGAGUUUGAAGUGAAAGCAAAAUCUGAUGAGUAAGCAAACAAAUUCUCAUAAAAAAUAACAUGUCUAGCUAUAUAGGUUUGACCAGAUGGAUGUAAACACUCGUACCCUUUAUGAGAAGGGCUAUAACCUAUGAAAAUACAUUUACGAGAAUGAUAUGCAAACUUAUGCUUGUUGUGAUCUCUCAAAUAAGGAUAGCAUGCACAGCCAAAACAUUUGAGCAUCUUGUAAUUUGGUUUAUGACUGAAAAGCUUUUCAUAUGGUGUAAGAAAUUUCAAAGUUGCAGAAGGCAACCUGUUAAUAUGAUAAACAGCAGUUUGGAAAGCUUCCCACCAAAAUUGUAAGGGUAACUUAGCUUGAGCUAAAAGUGUGAGACCUAACUCAACUACAUGCCUAUGCUUUCUCUCAACUACCCCAUUUUGAUGAUGUGUAUAGGGACAUGAGUGCCUGAAAAUAAUGUCAUUUUGAUUCAAGAAUUCAGUAAAUGCUCGGUACUCUCCCCCCCGGUCAGAUUGCAACUUCUUAAUUGGACAUUGAACCUGUUUUUCAACUUGCAAUCUGAAUAAUUUAAAAAUUUGUAAGGCUUCUGAUUUCAACUUUAAUGGGUAAAUCCAAGUGUAUCGGCUAAAAUCAUCAACAAAGCUGAUAUAAUAGAUAUGACCAACUCUAGAAGGUGUAGGUGAUGGUCCCCACAAAUCAGUAUAAAUGAGUUUAAGUAUGUGAGAAGUUUUGGUUUCAAUAAUAGGAAAAUGCAAUCUAUAAACCUUGCCCAUUUGACAUGCCUCACAUAUUUGCUGUGCAGAUUGUUUGAUAAGAUUGGUAGAGAGAUUGAUAGUUUUAUCAUUCUUAAGCAAAUGUAUUAGUACAUCAUGAUGAGGAUGACCAAAUCUUCUAUGAAACAAAUUAAUUUUAUUAACUGAUGCAUUACAAUGAGAGACAACAGUUUGAUAACAAGACAUAGAAGUUGAAUGAUUAUUUUGAGCACCAGUUGUAACAGGAAAUGAAAGAUGACAAGUAGAUAGCAUAGACAAAGGCUUAUUUGAAGAAACUUGACUCAAGAAAUAAGAGGGUGAUGUCUGAGAUGACUUUAACAGCAACUUGUAUAAUCCUUUUUUAGCAAGACCUUGCAAAAGCACCCGUCCCUUCAGUGAAUCCUUUACAUAACACACAUUGCCAACAAAUUCAAUGGAAAUGUUAUUAUCAGUUGUCAACUUAGAUAUACUUAUUAAGUUCUUAGUAAUUGAAGGAACUAAUAAGAUAUCUUUAAGUGUUAUAGAUGUGUGCUGGCAGGCAGUAUGAAGACAUUUAUAGUUAAAGCAAGCAUCACCAAUAUGAGUAAUGAUCAAACCUUGUCCAUUUUCAAUAGUAAGCUGGUCUAAACCUUUGAAUUCUUCUCGUACAUGCAUGUUUGCCAUGUUAUUGGUAAUGUGAUGUGUGGCACCAUUGUCCAGAUACCACCAUUCAUCUAAUGAAUCUUCCAGAUUUACAACAUAAGCUUCAGGCAGAGUAAAUGCUUCUGAUGAAUAAGAAGAAACAUGGGAGUAAUGGACUGGUUAACAGCUGGAGUUGACACCAGACAAUUCAUAAGGAUCUUCAAUAGCUGACUGGUGGUAUGAGAAUGGCUCAAAAUUAGUCAUAUAUGCUGCUUUAGGUCCCAUCAUUUUUCCUCUACCAAAUUGUUUUGGAGAAUGAGAGUAAUUAUCACCAUAUUUAUACCAGCAAGCAUCAACAGUAUGACCUUGUUUGUGACAUAUUUGACACACAAGUAUUGACUCAUUAGAUUCACCAGUAAAAAUGCUUGAGUUCAUUCAAGGUAAAAAUAUAUUCCUCACAUGUGGUGACCUAGGAGGAUGUGUAAACUGUUGAUUCCUUCCAAAGCUUGCAGCAUGUCCUCUGCCAAAACCACCAGCAGUACUACUACCAGCUGGAAAACCUCUGGGAUAAAAGUUAAAGAACAUGCCUCGACCAAAAUUUUGACUUCUUCCUCCAAAUUGACCAAAGGAUCCAUUACCAUAAGUAUUUCUCCUAGGAAUUCCCCUCAUAUGUGAAUAGUUUGCAUUCAUCAUACUGUGAUUAGCAUUAAACAUGGCCUGAGAAUUAUGAGAAUUCUGAUUUUGUUCAAAUCUAGCCUCAUGAGUCAACAAAAGUGUAUAUGCAUCAUCAUAACUCAUUUUAUUUGCUGUAAUUAUUGAAGCUAAAUCCAGAUAACCAGAUCCUAAUCCAUUAAGAGUUCUUAUUAGCAUAUCUUUUUCAGUUAUAUUAUCACCAGCACAGGCAAGCUUAUUAGCAAGUAUCUUCAUUUUUUAGCAACAUAUUCUUCAAUCGACAUUGAUUCUUUUAUUAAGGUAUCUAAUUCAUAUCGAAGUUGCAUUACCUUUGCUUCAGAUUGGACUCCAAAUUGCUUUUCAAUCGAUUUCCAGACAUCAAAUGAAGUAUUAUAAUUGAGAACUAAGCUUAGAAUACCUUCACUUAUAGUUUAAAAGAGCCAGCUCAGCAAAGUCUGAUCCUAAGCUCUUCAAUUGACAUAUGCUGGAUUCUCAGUUCUCUCCACAUAUCCAUUAGUUCGAGCUUGAGACAAAUACUGUUCUGGAAUAUUUUGAUUUUCUGAGAUAAAUCCUUUAAGUCUAUUUCCUUUGAUCAAAGUCAGAACUUGCUUACACUAGAGAAGAAAAUUAGAUCGAUCAAGCUUGACGGUUGUAGCAAAAUUAAAUGAAAUUUGAUGAGAUUGAGUUUGAUGAACAAUCAAAUGAUUUUGAUUGGUUGUACUGGAACUAGCCAUUGUGGCUCUGAUACCAUGAGAGAAAACUUGAGCUGUUUGUUUUGAAAGAAAAGUUGCAGAGAAAAAUUUUAUUUCAUUGAAUCUGGACAAUUAUCAAAGUCAAUUUACAACUGAAUUAAUCACAACUUAUAUACUCACAAGUUAGUUAUACACACAAGAAUUAUUAAUAACAGACUUUAACACCUUGUGCUGACUUGUUAUUUCAUAACUAACUCUGAUGACUUAGCAUUGCUGAGCUGGCAUGAUUGACUAACUUCACUUGCUGAAACUAACGGCUUCUUCACCUUUCUAUUCUUCAUAAGCUCAGCACAAUGAGCUUCAUUAACACUCGUUAUACCAUACUUGGCAAUGAAACUAUACAAAGCCAAUGGGCAUCUCAGUUCCAAUUAUGUACUUAAAGUUCACAUGUCCAUAAAAACUUGGCCAUUGUGGAUGGUUGUUCGCCAAUCAUAACUUUGAAGUUGGGUAAAGACAAACUGGUAAGAGUAAUAUAAAUUUUUCAUCAAACAGUUGUGGGUUAAAAUCAACUUAGCUUUCAAAAGGCAAAAGAAAAUUGAAAUGUUUACCAGACACUAAAGCUACUUUGCUUUGAAAGCACAACUGUUAAACAACAAUACCAAACGGGGCCUUAAAUGACCUAUUAACCUUCCAAUGUUCUUUCACACGUUAACACAGAGUGACAAUAAUUGUCGGGAUAUAUCAAAUUCAGGCAUCGCUAUAAUGAUAUUCCGCUUAAAUUUCAGUAUCAGUUAUUUGUCAGCCAAACAGAACAUUGAAAGACUAAAAUAUGAUCAAGUAUAUACAUAUGUGCAAGUGCAACAAAAUGGACAAAUAUAUAUUGUUAAGACUAUUAAGUCUUCAAUCUCUACAAAACUCACAAAUCUUGGUGAGUAGAAACACCAAGAACACAAUCGAAAUGAAUUACUAGAACAAAGAAACAAGAUAAGAACCAAAAACAGGGGCACAAACCAACACACUUGAAGGAAAAGUUACUCGUUGUUAUUGAUCAAGAACUAAUCCAAUCAUUAGUGGAUUUACAGAAGACUUUACACAUAUCACAAUGAAACAUAUCUUGUGAAAAAUGAUGAACUAAUGAAUACGAAAAGGACUGUUAAACAUGCACCAUCCAUUAGCUUUAUAUAUACUGAUGUACUGGACUUGUUAUAACAGAUGAUAACGAAUUCAUGCCACGUCAACAGACAAUAUCUAAUAGACCCAUCAACUGAAGUCAAUAUGCACAAUAGCUCUCAGCUUUUCUAUUUUCUUCAUUUCAGUCCACACAUACAUAUCUUCACAUUCUCCACCUUGCAGUUGAUUUAGUUGAUCCUUUCAAUAACACAGCACCUAAAAAACUUUCAUUCAACUACAAUUCACACCUGAAUUUAGUUAGGUUGGGCGAGAUGCCCAUCAGAUUCACACAGAAUUCAAAUUUUGCAAUGGGAAGAGCUUUUGUAAGAGCAUCAUCUGGAUUCACACCAGUAUGAAUCUUGAACACAAUUACAGUUCCUUUUCCAACAUCAUCUCUGAUGAACUGGAGCUUCACAUCAAUGUGCUUGGUUCUUUUAUGAUACAUAUGAUUCUUUAUCAAGUGUAUGGCACUUUGGUUAUCACAGAAAACCUUAACAGUUUUCUGACUUAACCAUAACUCAUUAAGCAAACCUCUUAACCACAUGACCUCUUUUAUUGCCUCCGUAGUUGCAAUAAACUCAACUUCAAUUGAGGAUAAAGCAACUACAGACUGAAGUGAUGACUUCCAGUUAAUCAUGCAACUGUUUAACACAAACAUAUACCCUAAGGUUGACUUUCUUCUGUCAAGAUCUAUAGGAAAGUCAGAGUCUACAAACCCCAUGACUUCACUUAUGUCACUCUUAGUCUUCCCAUACAGCAAACCACAAGUAGAAUAGCCCUUGAGAUAUCUCAUUAUUCAUUUGACAGCAUUCCAGUGAACCUUGCCUGGUUAACUGAGAAAUCUGCUGAUAACAUUUACUGCAUAGGCUAUAUCUGACCUGGUGCAUACCAUUACAUACAUCAGUCUCCCUACAGCCUGUGCAUAUGGGAAUUAAUUCACCUGAGACUCAUCUUUUGAUGAUUGACCUGCUGUCAACUUGAAUUAGGGAUCAAGUGGUGUCUAGACAGGUUUACAGUCUUGCAUCUCAAACCUCUCCAGACCUUCUUAAUAUAUUUCUCUUGACUCAAGAAUAAAGUGCCAGCAGAUCUGUCCCUUGUAAUGUCCAUCCUAAGGAUUCUUUUGGCAUUGCCGAGAUCCUUCAUUUCAAACUCAGCCUUCAACAGAUUUUUCAACCUCUUUAUCUCCAACUUGUAUUUGCUUGCGAUUAACAUAUCAUUAACGUACAGAAGCAAAUAAGCAACUCCACUUUGAUCUGAUCCACCAAAGUAAACACAAUUUUCAUAUUUGCUUAUGUGAUAGCCUUUUAAGACCAUAAAAUCAUCAUAUCUUCUGUACCACUGUCGUGGGGAUGGGUUGAGUCCAUACAAAGACUUAUACAGUAAACAAACAUAAUCCUCCUUUCCCUUACACUCAAAACUUUCAGGUUGUACCAUCAAUAUAUGUUUUUCAAGAUUACCAUGAAAGAAGGUUGUUUUUACAUCCAUUUGCUCAAGCUUCGAGUCAAGUAAGGUUACCAUGGCUAAUAAGAUUUUUAUUGAACUGUGCUUAAUAACAGAGGAGAAAAUUUCAUUGAAAUCUACACCCUCUCUCUGUGUAAACCCCCUAGCCACUAGCCUUACUUUAUAUUUGGGAGGUUUAACAUUUGGAAUUCCUUCUUUUUUCUUGAAGAUCCACUUACAACUGAUCAACCUUUUAUUACCUGGAUUUAGAACAAGUGUCCAGGUCUGAUUUCUUUGAAGGGACUCUAUUUCAUCUUGCAUUGCCUCAAGCCACUUAUCACAAUGCACACUUCCAAUAGCUUCAGAGAAAUUAGUAGGCUCUUCAAUUGACACAUCAUCAGCACACAACAGUGCAUAAGCAAUUAAGUCAGCAUAGCCAUACCUCACUGGUGCUCUGACUUCCCUUUUAACUCUAUCUCUUGCUAACUGAAAAGUCUGCAAGUCAGCUUGUGGUAAUUCUGAUGACUCAUGUUCCUCAGCUUCAGCUGUAGUCUUCUCUUCAUAGUCAGCUGCCUCUUUUCUACUGUCUUUAUCUCCAAACAGCUCCACCUUAACCUUGGAAGUUCCAAAUUAUUUGAUAUUUGUUGAAUCAUCUUGUAGUCCAGUAUCAUUCUCUGCAUUUUCUUUCAGUAAUGCAGAUUCAUGAAACACAACAUCCCUGCUGACUAUACACUUCCCUUGCCCUCUACACGAGAUUCUGUACCCCUUAACCCCAUCAGGAUAUCCAACAAAGACUCAUUUCAAGGCCCUAGCUUCCAGCUUGCCUUGAUUGAUGUAGAGAUAAGCAGGGCAUCCAAACACCCUGAGAUUUUGGUAAUUUGCAGGUUUUCCCUUUCACAGUUCUUCUAGUGUUUUAAAGCCAAUUGCAGAAGAUGGGCUUCUGUUAAUUAAAUAACUUGCUGUAUUGGCAGCUUCUACCCAGAAGCUUCUUGGAAGCUUUGAAUUUAUCAACAUACAUCUGGUCUUAUCUACCAAGGUCUUGUUCAUCCUCUUAGCUAAGUCAUUCUACUGGGGGGUGAACCUGACUGUUUUAUGGCUUUUUAUGCCAUGUUUUUGGCAAUAUUCCUCAAAUUGUUUGCUAUAAAAUUCCAAGCCAUUAUCAGUUCUCAAGCAUUUGAGCUUGAAUCUAGACUUAUUUUCUACUAAAGAUUUCCAUACCUUAAACUUUUCCAAGGCUUGAUCUCUAGUCUUGAGUAUGUAGAUCCAUACCUUCCUUAAGUAGUCAUCAAUUAGUGACAUGAAAUACCUACCACCACUCAAGGAUGGAAUUUGAGCAGGCCCCCAAAGGUCAGCAUGUGCAUAGUCCAGAACUUGCUUAGACAUAUGCUCCCCCUUGUGAAACUUAGACCUGUGAGCUUUGCCAAAAAUUCAGUUUUCACAGAAUUCCAGCUGUUGGAUUCUAUCUCCACCAAGUAGCCCUUGUUUGUUGAGCUCUUGCAUCCCUUUGACACUCAUAUGACCAAGUCUAAGAUGCCACAACUUGGUUCUAUCUUCCUUAGAAACGGCAGAAAUUCCCUAUUGAUCAGGCACUGAUGAGCCUUGCAAUACAUAUAAGUCAUUCUCUUUAACCUCAUUCAUCACUAUCUCAGUCCUCUUUCUUAUCUCUAAACCACCACUUUCUGAUUUAAAGAAAUACCCUAAGCUAUCUAGCAUGCCUAAAGAAAUUAAAUUUCUCUUUAGCCUAAGAGCAUGCCUCACCUCAUGUAGGGCUUUUACAGUUCUAUUAAACAUCUUGAUCUUUACAGAACCAAUACCAAUAAUAUUACACACAUUAUUGUUUCCUAUUAAGACUCUCCCACCAUCAAUAGCUUCAUAUUCGUAAAAUAGGGUUUUAUCAGGACAUAAGUGAAAAGAGCACACAGAGUCUAUGACCCAUUGACGUUUAGUAUUGCUGUUUGAGGCCACAAGUAAAUCAGCACUACGAUAUCCAUCAGAGGCAUCAUCAGAAGCUGCAGCUGUAUCCCCUGACUUUUCUUGACUUUCUUUCUUUUUCUUCUCAAGACAAUCCCUGAUGUAAUGCCCAUCAUUCCUGCAAUAGAAGCAUUUUCUCUUCUUUUUCUUUUUGUCUGCAUUUUCUUGAUUCUUUCCAUAUUCUUUUCCCUGAUUUUUGUUCUUCUAAUCUUUCUUCUUUUCUGAUCUGGCAAUCAGCCCAUCACCAUUACUUGUUUCAAGCCCAUUAUUCUUCUGAAUCUCUUUUGAACUCAGAGAUGCUUCAACAUCUUCAAGUCUCAAUGUUGUUCUGCAAUAAAGCAUUGUAUCUACAAAGCCUUCAUAAGACUUUGGAAAGGAACUCAGCAAGAAGAAUGCUUUAUCUUCAUAACUUAUUUUCACAUUUUCCACCCCUUCAAGAUUAAGAAUAUAUAUGAAAAGAAAAAUAGAAAAUUCAACUAUAAAAUUUAUUUCAUACAUCUGUAUCAGAUAGAAUUCCGAGACUGUUGGGUCCAAACCCUUGUUCAAUCUUCAUCGACAAGUCAGAAUUCUUGUCCUGUUUCAAUCAAUUCAAACAACCGCCAGUAAAUUUCAAACACGUGUGUUUCACACUAGCAUACGCAACGAGAACUAAGGUCUGAAGAUGAGCGAGGGACACAGAGACUUUACCUUGAGCUCCGAGUACGAAAUUGUGAUGGUUCUGAGAGUGGGGGAAACGGCUGCGGGCGAGCAAGCCAUCUUCUGACACGUAAUCUGGUGGGAAGCACUGCGAUUGGAGGGCAGGGCAAGGAUGAAUUGAGUGCCGAAAUGAGUUUUAUAGACAAGCGACCCUGAGAGAAUCGGAUUCAUGCGCGAAGUGAGUGUGAUGGUCAAUUCAAAUGAGAUGAAAACAAAAGGAAAAACACAAUCAAAAGGAAUAAAAUAGCAAGCGGUGUGGUUUCGGCUCUUCGCGUUUGUUCUUUAAAUUGAUUAUCGGUCGGCCCAAACCUUUUACGUGAGUUGCGUAAGUCGUUCUUAUUUGCCGUCGUUCCCACUAAACAUUGCAAAUUUAUAAUUCCCCGCAACUAAAAUUUUUAAAAAAAUCACAAAAACAGAAGAAAAAAGUGAUUUAUACAUUUAAAGCUAUUAUUUUAAUAUAAAAUCUAUCAUCUAAUUCCCUAACUUUUCUUCUUUUAGUGUAAUACCAAAAAAUAUAUAUAUAUAAAUUUCAGAUUAUCCUUGAUUAUCUUUAAGUUACCUUUUACAUUUAAAAUCUUUAAAUUAUUUUACUUUUUGUUUUAAAAAUAAAGAGCAAAUAAUUGUAUAUUGACAAAAAUUAUUUUGUCUUCUUAACAAAAAGUAUGCCAUAUUUAGAUUUAAAAGUAAAUAAGUGAUUUAAAAUAGCAAUUUUAAUAUAAUAAUUCUUUUAUCCAUUAUAUGAGAGAAAUUUCAGCUUGAUUUCUAGUGUCUGUUAUGCUAAUUUACCAUCUUUACUAGUUGAACUAAUUAGUAGAAUGGCAAUGUGUGUCACGAUAUAAAAAUGAAAUAAAUUUUUGGGUUAUGAUCAUUUUACUACUUCAAAAAUUGUCAAACAUCAAAUGAAUAUAACAAAUAUUGUCUCCUAUCAUUUUCCUAUUAUAUCUUUAUAAAAAUAUCAUUUUACUAUUUUUUCGUUACAACAAAUAUCAUUUUACUACUUUUCCAUUACAAUCGUUAAUUGACUCAUUAAUAACCAAUUAGUUGACUAAAAAAAUACCAAUUUUACCCUUCAUGAUUAAAAAAAUAAUAAGAUAAAUUUGUAAUCCAUAUAUCAUAAUUCCAACAAAAAAAAUUAUGUUGGUAUUAUAUAUCCAUUUUAAUAAAUAUAUUACAAAUUUAUUUUGUAAAUAAGUUUCAAGUAUUUUUUUUUUAAUCAUGAAAGGUGACAUUGGUAUUUUGUUAGUCAACUAACAGUUAUAACGAAAAAUAUAGUAAAAUUAUAUUUUUAUAAAGAUAUAGUAGGAAAAUGAUAGAAGAUAAUACUUGUUUUAGUCAUUUGAUAUUUGAUAAUUUUUGAAGUAGUAAAAUGAUAAUAACUCUAAAUUUUUUUAUGAUUGAAUUGAUAUAAUCUUACUUAUUAAUAAUCUUAUAUUUAAUAUUAUUUGUGUUGAAUUGUUUAUUGGUGUCAUAUAUGUUUUCUCAAUUCAUUUUAUAACCAAUUUAACAAUAAUUUUGAUAUAUUUAUUAUGUAUUAAAUUCAUCUUUAUUUUUUAGUAGAAAAAUAACUGAACAACUUUUUAGCCUCUUUUUACUUAGCUUUUAGUUAUUUGAUUCCUAAAAAAAUAGGCGUAAAUGUUAUAUUUUGAUUCUACCCAUCCCUAGGUUUUUCUUUCUUAUUAAGGGGCAAAACUAUCUUACCCCUAAUGUACCGAACACCAUUUUGGUAUUUUCUUUAGCAGCCCCUAUAGUUUUCUGUAAAUAAUAAAAACUAUAAGUUUUAAAAAUUUUAUACAAUAAGCCCCAAUUAAAAUAUAAUAAUUUCAAAAUUCUAAAAAAUUUAUUUGGCAUUUUCUUUAACAAUCCCUAUUGUUUUAUGUAAAUAAUAAAAACUAUAAGUUUUAAUAAUUUUAUGUAAUAAACCCAAUUAAAAUAUAAUAACUUUAAAAUUCUAAAAAAAAUAACCUCUCUAUAUCCUUCUCAAUCAAUUUUAAAUUUAAGUUUCAUUCUUUAUAAUUUUAAAUUUAAGUAAUAGAAUAAAUAUUAUAUAAUUUAUUUAUUUUUAUAUUAAAUAAACAAUUGAUCGGUUUCAUACGUGGGAUAAAGUAUAAGUAAUUUUACAUAAUCUCAAAUUUACUCAUAGAAAUUUAUUAUUUUGAAAAUAUUAUUUAUAAACUCUAUAAUGAAUUUAAAUGACUAUCCAAGCAUUUAUUUAAUAUUUAUUUAUUUUUCAUUUUAAUAUUGUCAAAAUUUAUAUAAAUCUUUUCUAAUUUUAUGUUACACUAAACACAAAAUAGUAUUGUUAAAAUAUAAUUGGUAUUUUAAGUAAAUGGAAGUGGAGAGUAUUUUAGCAAGUUAAAAUAAUCCAUCCAUAUUUUUAAUAUAUAAAUAUGUUUGUUUGCUGAAUUACUUUUGAUAAUAAAAUAUUUAACGGAUCAAUGUGUCAAAAUUUUAAAAUUUAAACUUUUCUUAUUCUUUUAGUAAACAUAAGGGACCACAUCGUUAAUAACCAAAUGAUAACAUCUUAGCCAUUAGAAUAGCCUUUGCUGGGUUGGAUCCAAUAAUUGGAUCACAAAAAGACAAAAAAAAAAGGUAUGAAACAAUAGUUGUACUAUAGCCGGACCCUAACUUUAGCAUAUAUUGAAAGUCGAAUUCAAUUAUAAGACUAAGAUUUUUUUUUUAAGAGAAUUAUUACUCAUGAUAUCUACAACUAUAUAAAUUAUUGAGACCAGUUUUAUAUCAAUUUUGAUAUGACACCGCUCAGAUUUUCUUAACCCUCUUAAAUAUUUGAGAGACGAUAAACUCCCCUCCUGAAAAAAAAAAAAAAAACUAUCUUCACUCAAGCUCUGGAAUUUUAAGGAAUGAUAUUUAAAUUAAACUCCUUCAAUACGUCUGCGGGGGCUCGAGAGUGGGUCUAACCACUUGGGCCAAGCGCUGGUGGUUCUAAGACUAAGGCUCCGUUUGAUACAGCUUAUUAAAUAGAGCUUAUAGUAGUAAAACUUAUAAAAGUAGAGCUUAUACAGAUAGAGCUUUUGGACAAAAAGUCAUUGGGUGUUUGGUUGUCAAUUAGAAAAGCAUUUUUGAUAGGGAUGGCAAUGGGGUGGGGUGGGGGUGGGGAUGCCUACCCCAUUCCCCACCCCAUUAAAAAUUUUUUGCCUCUAUUUCCCACCCCAUUCCCAAAUAAAUUUAGUGGGUUGGGGAUGAGGAAUCCUCAUGUGAGGAAUGAUUCCUCUAUCCCCACCCCAUUCCUCAUUUACUUAUUUUAUAAUAGAUAUAAAAAUAUAAUUUUAGUAAAUUAAAAAUUAGAGACUUAAAAUAAAAUCAUCACCAUAUUAUAAAGUAUUUAAAUUUUUUUAAAAAUCUCUAAAAGUUUGAAACAAUAUCUUAAACUGAUAUUAAAAGUGAAAAAUAUUUAAAGAAAGCAACACCUUAAGAAAAAAAAGAAAAUAUAAUAAUAUUUUAAAGUUAAAAAAUAUUGUAGGGUUUUCUUUUACUCAUAUCAUGUUUAUAUUACAUAAAAAUUAAAAACUUAUUAAUUGACAUUGUAGUUGAUAAAAUAAAAAUUAUUAAAUAAAAAUUAAAAACAUAUUUAUAUAUAAUGAGGAUUGGGGUGGGGUGAGGUGGGGAGUGCAAUACCAAACCCCACCCCGCUAAUAAUUUAGGAAUUACUUUUCUCCCACUCCCCACUUCAUUCCCCAAAAAUUAUUAAAAAUUUUCCUCAUUUGGGGUGGGGCUCCAUGGAACCCAAACCCGUAGAGGAUUUUGUCAUCCCUAAUUUUUUAACAUUAAACUGUUUGGUUGUGUAAAACUAAAAGUAUUUUUGUGUAAUUAAAUUACCAAAAAGGAUAUGUAUUCAUAAUUAUAUAACAUGUAAUAUAAUGCAUCCAAGCUAUCAAUUAAUAAGAAAAAACCAGUUCAAUCAUUUCUUUAAUUUUCAAAAUUAAAAAUUUCAUAAUUGAUAUAUUCUUUUAAACAAAUAAUAUUAUCCAAAUUAAAAUGAUAAUCGAUAAUAUAACUGAAAUGUUAACGGAACAUGAGAAGUGUCGCAUUACCUGACAUCCUCCUCACAAAAAACGUUGGUUAUGACUAUGAUUGCUCUUUCAAGUGUUAGUUAUGUAUUAGGGAUUGCAAAAUUAAAGUGUUGGUUAUUUUAAAAAAACAAAAAUAAAUAAAGUGAAGUGGCGGCAGGAAUAUAUUUAUAUAGCGGCAACAAUUUUCGUUGGGUAAGCUUUAUAUAAAAGGUAUUAUGUAAUUAAUUAAAUAUGUUAAGGAUAUUUUAUAUAUAUAUAUAUUUUAGAAAAUCUCUCUAAUCUCUACUCUCAAAAACUCAAAUUUUAGACUUUUACUAGCAGAGGUAAAUUAACUUAUUUAAGCUAAAAAAAUUCUACUAAAAAAAUAACCAAACACUAUUAAAAAAUUUUAAAAAUACUUAUGAAAUUAAAUAAGCACUUAUGACUCUUAAAUAAACCAUACCAAACAGGCACUAAGAUAUUAAAAAAACAGCUUUUUUAUGCGCAUAAUCAACCCUACAUUUUAAAAAACACAACUAUACACAUUUAAAAAAAAAAACAUUAGCCAUUUAUACUAAAUCUCAGUGACAUAUACGAUCAAGGAAGAAAAAUGAUGGGAUGUGAUUAUAUGAACAGUUGAACAUGUUCGUAAUUGACACGAUCUGUGUCAUUCAUUUAUAUUUUAUUGCUUUCUACUGUAAUAUACUACAAAUGUGAAGACUUGAAGUGAUGGUUGCCUUAUAUUUUAUUAUUUCAAUAUGUAGUUUAUUCAAGUUUUCAAGUUUUGUUUUUAAAUUCACACCCCUCUCUCAUUCUUCUCUGUCUGUGUGUUGCUGAACUCUCAAUGGCGAGCAACGUUCAGCACCUCACCCAAACAAUCCGACUCUCUUUCCCAUCUCUUCACAAUUUCAAAGCUUCUGAUGCUUUUACGAAUAAGAGUUUAAUUACCACAUUUCCAGUACGUUUCUCUUUUCACAGCUCAGCAAAAUUAACUACUUCUAUUCGCUCUUUACCAGUCGCUACCGCUAGCAUUAGCUACAGAAGCAGCUGUGCCUUCACUUGGGACGACGUCGUUCGAGUUUCUCAACCAGAAUAUUCCCCUGACGAUUCUUCCGAUCUCCAUGGCUACUUCGAAAAAAUCAAAAUCUGCAAUCGUGGCUCAGUUACUAUUUCAAGUUCCUCAUCAAACAAAUAAAUUUUGCAACCUUUAUUUUGCUGCACUUAAUUCAUUUUCUUAUCUUUUAAUUAUUAUUAUUUUUAAGGAAAUCCAAUCCGAGUUUUUUCCUUUUAUCAUCGAGGACCAAGUUGUUGGUUACACACAUAAUCGGUACAAUUUCUUUAUCCUCAUAAUAGAAAAUAGAUUAUGUCUAUUUAUUCCUGUUAGGGAUUUUAAAUUCUGAACAAUUCUUUUUUUCUUUUUUGAUUCAUUUUUUAAUAUGAGCAGUUUCGCUAGCCACCUGAGGAAAUACGACGACGUAUUCAUAUACUCUGAAAACAACGGAGGUCGAUUUGGCAGUCACCUGAAGUUAAAUUCAAAGCUGAAAACAGCCGAUGAGAGGACGAGAGUUGUCGGAGAAGUGAUUAAAUGCUUGGGCGAAGAAGAUUUGAUUCCAGGUAUACGGAAUGAGGUACUGCUAGCUUUACUUUUGAUGUUUAUAUAGGAACUGAAUCGAUUCUCUUUCACUUUUGAAUAUAUGCUUCGUGCUUGUGACUAUGUCCAUAUGAUGUGUAAUUUGUAAUUGAUUUUUUUGAGAUUGAUUCAUUUUGGAUUUCAUUGGUUUAUAAUCAGCUCUAUCCUGUAACAUCAACCUUUGGUUCUCCGAUCUUUUUCUCGCUGGAACGCGCCGCUGCUCCUUACUUUGGAAUAAAGGUGAGUUCAUGACUUUUGCUUUGGAUCAAGGAUACUUGUGCAUAAAGUUAGAGAUACAAUAAGUUAGUGAUCAUGAGAUGUUUAUUGCAGAUAUGAUCACAUGAAACAGUUGUGUCUUGUUAAGUGUCUAUGUUUGGAUCUACUCACCGUCGAACUUUGUCUAUUUUAUUACUUUGCUUUCUGGUAAUAGACUGAAUGAUAAUUUACUUGGCUAUUGAUGGUUAUAUUGCUGUUCCCUUCUUCCUGAAUUUGAAAAUAGGCUUAUGGAGUUCACAUGAAUGGUUAUGUUGAAAAAGACGGGCAAAAAUUUCUAUGGAUUGGAAAACGAACUCAAGUCAAACCUACUUAUCCAGGAAUGCUUGAUCAUCUAGUUGCUGGAGGAUUGGUAUGUAAUAAUAACCUUUCAUUGCUUUUCUUUGGUUGAUAGUAUUGGAUUCUUCUUUUGAAUUGCAUUGAGUUUACUUUUGUUUUGAAAAAAGGACAGUCGUCAGCUGAUUCUCCUAAGUCCUUUUUGUGAUCGGAAAAAGUGCCAAACAUGUAUUGCAUGAGUAGGGCAUAGCUGGAUCCUCAUAUACUUGAAGUUCACUGAUGACCUUCAUUUGAAAUUGGAAUAGGUUGCUUACUAAAAAAUAGAUUAAUAAGGUUUUUCUUCAGCAGUGGACUCCAAUAUGACUGCAGUUGAUUAAGAUUGACUUCUGAAGUGCUACUAAGGCUUAAGAAUCAAUUAGUCCUUAGAAAUUCUCAAAAUAGUAGGAAGAAGGCACAACAUUAUCCAAGGGCUGUUUGUCAUUCUGAUGUAGCAUAAAAGAAUAAGAGGGAAGAGGCAAAAGGUCAUUCUGAAAAAUGCCAUUUCUAUGGUGCCAUUUGUAAAACAUGCAAGCAAAAAUGUAGGGGGCAAGAGAAACUUUGCAGGCAUUUGUUUCUGUUAUUUUUCAGUUGGACUGAUUUAUCUCUUUACUAGUUAUAUAUGUUUUCAAGUUUAAACUGAGUGGUUUGGGCAGCUGGCAAAUAUUUGUCCAUGUUAGUCUAUAAUGAGAAAAUGAUCUUGAAAAGCCUUUAGUGAACCAUGGAAACUUGAGCUCAGAACAAAUAUCACGUGGGCAACAAACCUUGUGCAAUUGGAAAACAUUAGGUGUUCUUCCUUGUUGCAAGAUCAUUUGUUUCUGUUAUUUUUCGGUUGGACUGAUUUAUCUCUUUACUAGUUAUAUAUGUUUUCAAGUUUAAACUGAGUGGUUUGGGCAGCUGGCAAAUAUUUGUCCAUGUUAGUCUGUAAUGAGAAAAUGAUCUUGACUAGCCUUUAAUGAACCAUGGAAACUUGAGCUCAGAACAAAUAUCACGUGGGCAACAAACCUUGUGCAAUUGGAAAACAUUAGGUGUUCUUCCUUGUUGCAAUACUUGGAGAUUCCAGUUCAGUUACUGCAAUUGGAUAAAGAAUUUAUAAUAAUGAAAACUAUGGAUUCAUUUCAUUUAAAAAUGUUUUCUCUAAUCUUUAUGCUCAGUUAUCUGAACCAACUCUUCAUCUAUAUAAUCAUGAUGGUGAUUGCAGCCCCAUGGUAUUGCUUGUGGGGAGAAUAUUAUCAAGGAAUGUGAAGAGGAAGCGGGAAUACCUAGAUCCAUAUCCAAUAGGUAAGCUGUCCCCAUGCCACAUUGAUUCUAAAUUUGAGUACUAAUUGUAUUUAACUAUAUUAUAUUGGCUAAAAAUGUGAGCCUUGCUAAAGUUCCACUCCACAUGUUAAAAUUCUGAUUAAACCAUGCUUCUUUUAUGGAUGAUUGGUUGUACUAAUGGGUCCAGAUAUACAUCUUUCACAGAGCUAGACCAGUGGGAGCUGUUUCCUAUAUGGACAUUAAUGGGUUUAGUUACAAAAGAGACGUUCUGUUUUGCUACGAUUUGAAGCUACCUGAAGAUUUUGUUCCUAAGAAUCAAGGUAACUGUAUUAAAGCUUGAUCUCAUUGAUGCCCAUUUUCUUCCCUAGUGAGAAUAAGGUAUAAAAGCAAUAUUUCUUGAGCUGCAAACUAGUAUUAGCAUUCCUACUGUUAAAUAUUUAUACAUUUCAAUCUAUAACAUACAGCUGCUGCAGUUUUAGAAGAG
RNAcentral lists this long non-coding RNA (24319 nucleotides) under Citrus x clementina. RNAcentral's name for it is "Citrus clementina (C. clementina) long non-coding RNA (CCLE_LNC006495)". Lineage: Eukaryota; Viridiplantae; Streptophyta; Magnoliopsida; Sapindales; Rutaceae. The record is from RNAcentral.